RNAcentral lists this ribosomal RNA (440 nucleotides) under uncultured bacterium. Its description in RNAcentral is "partial 16S ribosomal RNA". It matches the Rfam family "Bacterial small subunit ribosomal RNA", at positions 338 to 795 of the family's 1533-position model. The record is from RNAcentral.
CCUACGGGAGGCAGCAGUGGGGAAUAUUGCACAAUGGGGGAAACCCUGAUGCAGCGACGCCGCGUGAGUGAAGACGUCAUUCGUUAUUUAAAGCUCUAUCAGCAGGGAAGAAAAUGACGGUACCUGAGUAAUAAGCCCCGGCUAACUACGUGCCAGCAGCCGCGGUACUACGUAGGGGGCAAGCGUUAUCCGGAUUUACUGGGUGUAAAGGGAGCGUAUACGGCAUUGCAAGUCUGGAGUGAAAGGCGGGGGCUCAACCCCCGGACUGCCCUGGAAACUGUACGGCUGGAGUGCAGGAGAGGUAAGUGGAAUUCGUGGUGUAGCGGUGAAAUGCGUAGAUAUUAGGAGGAACACCAGUGGCGAAGGCGGCUUACUGGACUGUAACUGACGUUGAGGCUCGAAAGCGUGGGGAGCAAACAGGAUUAGAUACCCGAGUAGUC